RNAcentral lists this ribosomal RNA (443 nucleotides) under uncultured bacterium. RNAcentral describes it as "partial 16S ribosomal RNA". It matches the Rfam family "Bacterial small subunit ribosomal RNA", at positions 338 to 795 of the family's 1533-position model. The record is from RNAcentral.
CCUACGGGCGGCAGCAGUGGGGAAUAUUGGUCAAUGGGCGCAAGCCUGACCCAGCAACGCCGCGUGAAGGAAGAAGGCUUUCGGGUUGUAAACUUCUUUUUUCAGGGACGAAGCAAGUGACGGUACCUGACGAAUAAGCCACGGCUAACUACAUGCCAGCAGCCGCGGUAAUACGUAGGUGGCAAGCGUUAUCCGGAUUUACUGGGUGUAAAGUGCGUGUAGGCGGGACUGCAAGUCAGAUGUGAAAACCACGGGCUCAACCUGUGGCUUGCAGUUGAAACUGUAGUUCUUGAGUACUGGAGAGGCAGACGGAAUUCCUGGUGUAGCGGUGAAAUGCGUAGAUAUUAGGAGGAACACCGGUGGCGAAGGCGGUCUGCUGGACAGCAACUGACGCUGAGGCGCGAAAGCGUGGGGAGCAAACAGGAUUAGAUACCCCGGUAGUC